AUGUCGCCGCUCCCAGACAACCUCCGCCGCGCCCCCAACGCUGCCUCCCGACACUUUCUCUCCGGGCAGCACCGCGGCCAGCUCCCCCGCCAUCGUCUACUUGCGCGCUUCCUCAAGCAGCGCCGACUCAUCCAGGAGCUCCUCCCGUCAGCAGCACCUCCUCCUCUAGGAGCCUCCUCUACGAACCAGUCCUCCACCAAAUUGCGUGCAUCUUCUUUGUCCUCUCCACCAAGCAGUGUCGACUACGCCAUCUCCCCCCAGGUUCAUCUUUACUUGAAAUCUAAUUUGCAUGUUGGUUGGUGUUCUUCAAGAAUCAGGGUACUAAUUUGUGAUAUGAUUGGUGAAAGAGGUUGUGGAUGUCACUUCCUGUUUCUUGAACGGUGUCCCUAUUUUGUCCUAUGUACAGACAAAUUUGAUGAUUCUUCACUUUCUGGAAAGUAA
RNAcentral lists this ribosomal RNA (441 nucleotides) under Triticum aestivum (bread wheat). Its description in RNAcentral is "partial small subunit ribosomal RNA". Lineage: Eukaryota; Viridiplantae; Streptophyta; Magnoliopsida; Poales; Poaceae. The record is from RNAcentral.